Oreochromis aureus is the source of this 1471-nucleotide long non-coding RNA. RefSeq lists it as uncharacterized. The transcript has 2 exons. The record is from RefSeq and is a predicted model, not a curated record. NCBI's taxonomy places the organism in Eukaryota, Metazoa, Chordata, Actinopteri, Cichliformes, Cichlidae.
ACAGAGGAUGAAAACGAUGUGUCUGAUAUGCCCAUUACUGGUUGUACUGAGUCUGCUCCAGCCUCCAUUCCCCUGAUUGAAGACCACGACUAUGCAGAAGUCCUUUGAUUGUGGUAGACCGCAUUAAAUAUGAAACUAUGUCACGGGAGAUUGAGGAGCUUAGACGGCAGCUUGAGUCGUAUCAUUUGACGCAGGGAUUUGGACUGCAGUGAUUUGCCACAUCACCUGAGGACAUUCGGUAUUAUACAAGGUAAGAAAUCCUGAAGUUUUCAACUAGUGACCUAUGACCUUAAUAAUAUUACCACAAAAAUGUGCAUUUUAACACAAGGCUGGAGUUGGUUUUCGUUUCUAGCCUCAUCACUUUAAAAAUAUUAAUGUAACUUACCUCUGAUCUGUAUUAAAUUGACCAAUAGAAAGUUGUAAUGUCAUCUGAAAUUUAGCAAUAGCUGCAGAUAAAAAACUAUAUUAACAUCCACCAUUUAAAUGCAGAUUUCCAUCAUAUAAGCAUUUGAUGGCCUUUUGGAAUCUAAUGCAAGAGGCAACAAGCAGGAUGGUGAGGGUCACCAGUGGUCAGAAGAGCCUUUUCACCAGCACAUCCACCGAGAGCCCUAAAUUGUUUCCAAUUGAUGAGCUAUUCUUGUUCCUGAAUAAUCUGGCAACCGGCUGUACACAAAGGGAGCUUUGUCACAAGUUUAACAUCCACAGAGCUACAGUGAGUAGUGUCUCAGCACUUUUUGAAGGCUCCAUCAGUGACAAGGAGAUUUUCCGUCACUCUGGCAUCACCUCCCUCUUGACACCUGAGAUGGAUAUAAUGGUGGACAAAGGGUUUCUGGUAGAUGAACUAGUGCCUGGGAAAGUCCAUCGCCCAGCCUUUUUGUCCAAGCAAGCUCAAAUGUCAGAGUUGGAUGUCCUUAGAACCCAGUCCAUUGCACGUCUGAGGGUCCACGUAGAGAGGCUCAUCAGGAGGGUUAAAGAAAACAAACUUUUUGACACUGUCAUCCCUCUCUCCAUUUCUGGGAGUAUAAACCAAACGUUUACUGUUGCAUGUCUCCUCACAAAUUAUCAAUAGGGACCACUGGUCAAAAAAUGGGUGGUUAAUUAAAAGUUUGAAAUGUGUGUAUUGUAGUGUAUUUAGUGGGAGAAGUAGGCAGUUUUGGGAGAAUACUUUACAAUUGUAUUUAGUUACUGAAUACUUAAUUCUUGCCUUUAAAUGUAUUUUGUAGCACAUUCCAUCACUUUGUCUAGUCAGAAUACUGUAUUCUGAAUACUUUGAAUAUCUUUAGAAUAUUGUUAUUAUUUUAAAUUCAUGUAUUUAGUUACUCUCCAAGAAUUUAAGUAGCAAAUUUUGUUACUUAAGUAAAAUUGAUCAACAGCUAACACACCCCCUUUCCUGGAUAAAGUUAAAUAAUAAAUCACUUGAUGUUUUACUGUUACUCUGCAAAUAAAACUGCCUUACUUUAACCACAUUGUC